AUUGAACGCUGGCGGCAUGCCUUACACAUGCAAGUCGAACGGCAGCGGGCCCUUCGGGGUGCCGGCGAGUGGCGAACGGGCGAGUAAUGCAUCGGAACGUACCCGGGAGAGGGGGAUAACCGGCCGAAAGGCUGGCUAAUACCGCAUGAACUCGGAAGAGCAAAGCGGGGGACCUUCGGGCCUCGCGCUCUCGGAGCGGCCGAUGUCCGAUUAGGCUAGUUGGUGGGGUAAAGGCCCACCAAGGCGACGAUCGGUAGCGGGUCUGAGAGGACGAUCCGCCACACUGGGACUGAGACACGGGCCAGACUCCUAAGGGAGGCAGCAGUGGGGAAUCUUGGACAAUGGGCGCAAGCCUGAUCCAGCAAUGCCGCGUGGGUGAAGAAGGCCUUCGGGUUGUAAAGCCCUUUCGGCGGGGAAGAAAUCGGUCAGGCGAAUAGUCUGGCCGGAUGACGGUACCCGCAGAAGAAGCACCGGCUAACUACGUG
This 485-nucleotide ribosomal RNA is filed under the name uncultured bacterium. RNAcentral's name for it is "partial 16S ribosomal RNA". It matches the Rfam family "Bacterial small subunit ribosomal RNA", at positions 28 to 507 of the family's 1533-position model. The record is from RNAcentral.